GAUGAAGAACGUAGCGAAAUGCGAUACGUAAUGUGAAUUGCAGAAUUCAGUGAAUCAUCGAGUCUUUGAACGCACAUUGCGCCCCCUGGUAUUCCGGGGGGCAUGCCUGUCCGAGCGUCAUUGCUGCCCUCAAGCACGGCUUGUGUGUUGGGCCUCCGUCCUCCUCCCGGGGGACGGGCCCGAAAGGCAGCGGCGGCACCGCGUCCGGUCCUCGAGCGUAUGGGGCUUCGUCACCCGCUCUUGUAGGCCCGGCCGGCGCUUGCCGACACAUCAAUCUUUUUUCCAGGUUGACCUCGGGUCAGGUAGGGAUACCCGCUGAACUCAAGCAUAUCAAUAAGCGGAGGA
Molecule: unclassified non-coding RNA, 345 nt
Filed under: soil metagenome
Description: partial contains 5.8S ribosomal RNA, internal transcribed spacer 2, and large subunit ribosomal RNA
Rfam family: 5.8S ribosomal RNA (bases 1-120)
Source: RNAcentral